UAGAAGCCAUGAAGAAUAGAAUUUGGUCAGAAUUCUAGGUUGUUUUUAGCAUCUCUCUUCUAUUUCUUCAAAGCUGUGUCAUCUUAGCUUCUCAGAUCCUCAGUUUCCUCAUCCAUAAGGUGGAGAAAUGAUUUCAUGAAUCAUUCAUGCCUGAAAAGAUCUGCUAUCUUAGAAGCACCCUGAUUUGAGACAAAGUGACAGAUUGACAUUUUGUGUCUUCUAAAGUUCUUGGCCUCUGCACCAGAAUCCACCUUGGCUAAGAGAUGUUUGAGGACACGGGGGGACCCUGAGAUAAACCAGAUAUGGACUCAGAACCAGGCAAAGCAAGGAAACUGGCCACAGGAAGCCUGGAAGAAAUGCCCCAUACGAGUGAUUCAAACUACCACAAGGAUGUGACUCUCUGAGCCUGCCCGUGUAUGCCUAUUCACACAUACUCUUUUCUCUCCUAAUAAACACUUUACUUGUCU
This is a non-coding RNA of Odocoileus virginianus texanus, 467 nucleotides long. NCBI's taxonomy places the organism in Eukaryota, Metazoa, Chordata, Mammalia, Artiodactyla, Cervidae. The record is from RefSeq and is a predicted model, not a curated record.